Molecule: ribosomal RNA, 468 nt
Filed under: uncultured bacterium
Lineage: Bacteria
Description: partial 16S ribosomal RNA
Rfam family: Bacterial small subunit ribosomal RNA
Source: RNAcentral
GACGAACGCUGGCGGCGUGCUUAACACAUGCAAGUCGAACGGAAAGGCCCUGCUUUUGCGGGGUGCUCGAGUGGCGAACGGGUGAGUAACACGUGAGUAACCUGCCCUUGACUUUGGGAUAACUUCAGGAAACUGGGGCUAAUACCGCAUAGGAGCUCCUGCUGCAUGGUGGGGGUUGGAAAGUUUCGGCGGUUGGGGAUGGACUCGCGGCUUAUCAGCUUGUUGGUGGGGUAGUGGCUUACCAAGGCUUUGACGGGUAGCCGGCCUGAGAGGGUGACCGGCCACAUUGCGACUGAGAGAGGGCGCAGACUCCUACGUGAGGCAGCAGUCGGGAAUAUUGCGCAAUGGGGGGAAGCCUGAUGCAGCAACGCCGCGUGCGGGAUGACGGCCUUCGGGGUGUAAACCGCUUUCGCCGGUGACGAAGCGGGAGUGACGGUAAUGGGUAAAGAAGCACCGGCUAACUACGUG